GGAGGCAGCGGACAAAACGG
This 20-nucleotide small nuclear RNA is filed under the name Arabidopsis thaliana (thale cress). Its description in RNAcentral is "snRNA_17654". Lineage: Eukaryota; Viridiplantae; Streptophyta; Magnoliopsida; Brassicales; Brassicaceae. The record is from RNAcentral.